Molecule: long non-coding RNA, 330 nt
Filed under: Phoenix dactylifera (date palm)
Lineage: Eukaryota; Viridiplantae; Streptophyta; Magnoliopsida; Arecales; Arecaceae
Description: long non-coding RNA (PDAC_LNC023002)
Source: RNAcentral
AGGAGAGGAAAGGAAAGGAAGAAAGGAAGAGGAAAGGAAAGGAAGAAAGGAAGAGGAAGGAGAUCCCGGUUGCGCUGCCAGCUGAAGGAAAAAGUGUAGAUCUCCUUCUCCUCUACGCAAGGACCUCGAUUUUCAAAAAGAAAAGAUAAAUAUCCGUCUCUAUCUAGUCUUUUGAUGACAUUAGGCUAUACAAAGGGUGGAUAUAGUUUAGAGGGGUCGGAUAAGGGUUGUAGAGGCGGUUAAAAGAGGAAGAAUCGGAUUUUGACAAAUUUUUCCGGCACUACGGAAAAACUGUGUCGAAGUCCCAACUUCGGCAAAUUAUUUAGGGGG